GACGAACGCUGGCGGCGUGCUUAACACAUGCAAGUCGAACGGAAAGGCCUGCAGCUUGCUGCGGGUACUCGAGUGGCGAACGGGUGAGUAACACGUGGGUGAUCUGCCUUGCACUUCGGGAUAAGCUUGGGAAACUGGGUCUAAUACCGGAUAGGACAGCUGCUUCGUGUCGCUGGGGGAAGGUUUUUCGGUGGCAUAUGAGCUCGCGGCCUUUCAGCUUGUUGGUUGGGUAAUGGCCUGCCAAGGCGGCGACGGGUAGCCGGCCUGAGAGGGUGUACGGCCACAUUGGGACUGAGAUACGGCCCAGACUCCUACGGGAGGCAGCAGUGGGGAAUAUUGCACAAUGGGCGGAAGCCUGAUGCAGCGACGCCGCGUGGGGGAUGAAGGCCUUCGGGUUGUAAACUCCUUUCGACAGGGACGAAGCUUUUGUGACGGUACCUGUAUAAGAGGCACCGGCUAACUACGUG
Molecule: ribosomal RNA, 467 nt
Filed under: uncultured bacterium
Lineage: Bacteria
Description: partial 16S ribosomal RNA
Rfam family: Bacterial small subunit ribosomal RNA
Source: RNAcentral